UUUAAUUGAAGAGUUUGAUCAUGGCUCAGAUUGAACGCUGGCGGCAGGCCUAACACAUGCAAGUCGAACGGUAGCACAGGGGAGCUUGCUCCCCGGGUGACGAGUGGCGGACGGGUGAGUAAUGUCUGGGAAACUGCCCGAUGGAGGGGGAUAACUACUGGAAACGGUAGCUA
Molecule: ribosomal RNA, 173 nt
Filed under: Erwinia mallotivora
Lineage: Bacteria; Pseudomonadati; Pseudomonadota; Gammaproteobacteria; Enterobacterales; Erwiniaceae
Description: partial 16S ribosomal RNA
Rfam family: Bacterial small subunit ribosomal RNA
Source: RNAcentral